AUGUGUCAUGUUUGCUUCACUGUUUUGUGUCGAUUUGAAUUUAAUAAAAAACUCGUGAAAUCUACUGACAUUCUCGUAUGCGUAUGCCUCUGUUUCAGAUUCUUUUGUGACGAUGGUGUAUUGAUGUAUAGAUUUAUGAACUGUUUUAUGUUUUUGAGUUGUCUUGCUUCUGAAAUUACGCACAUGUGA
Molecule: non-coding RNA, 189 nt
Organism: Vicia faba (fava bean)
Lineage: Eukaryota; Viridiplantae; Streptophyta; Magnoliopsida; Fabales; Fabaceae
Source: the annotation of a GenBank genome assembly